This is a non-coding RNA of Mycena rebaudengoi, 93 nucleotides long. The record is from the annotation of a GenBank genome assembly. Lineage: Eukaryota; Fungi; Basidiomycota; Agaricomycetes; Agaricales; Mycenaceae.
UUGGGUAUGGUGUACGGUACACCGCUCCUUUCAAUAAUAUGGAUCAGUCUCCGAUGCAUGGAGCGAGCCGGGGUUCGACUCCCCGUGCUCGAA